UUUUUUUUUUUUUUUUGUGUUUAGCUAUUCGAUCGAAAAUUCUUUUGAAGCAUGGCGAUGAAUUCUAUCAAGAUGGACAGUUUAUUGGGCAUGUUAACUAUGCGAUUACAAGAUGAUAAUUUUGUGAAAUGGUCCUUUCAAUUUUGAUCUAUUCUUGAAGGUUAUGACCUAUUUGAGCAUUUUGAUGGUUCCUUUGUGUGUCCGUCGAAGUUUGUGGUUACUAAGGAGACUGGGAUUACUACUGAGAUUACAAAAGCCGAUAAGGAGUGGAUUAAACAAGAUAGAGCUCUUGUGAGUCUAUUACUUGCUACACUUGGUGAUGAAGCUGUUGAGUAUGUUGUUGGUUGCAAAACUGCUCAUGAAGACUGGACGAAUCUUCAAGACCGGUAUGCUACUGUGUCUAGGGCUCAAAUUAAUCAUUUGAAGACUGAGCUUCACACUAUCAAGAAAUGGGCUAAUAGUGUAGAGAAGUAUAUGCUCAGACUUAAGGCUUUUAAAGAUCAAUUAAUUGCAGCUAGUGAAGUAACAUUUGAGAAUGAUCUAAUUAUAGUUACUUUGGCUGGCUUACCUGCUGAGUUCAACAUGAUUCGAACUAUGAUUGUAGCUUGUGAGACUCCAAUUUCCUUUAAGGAAUUUAGGGCAUAAUUGUUAGCUGCUAAAAGAACUGCUAAAGAUCUCAUUCUACUUUGACUUUUCCAAUGUCCGACAUGUAUUGCCAUGGUGAAUCUUCUAAUGCUGCUCAAAACUCUUAGAGGUCUUCAUAAUAUUUUGAUGAAGGUUAUGGUUAUGUUGGUCAAAGUCGUGCUGAAUCUUCGAGUAAUGGUUCCAGACCAAAUGGUGGGCUAAUUUCUCAAGCUCAAUUGCCUCCAUUUCAUCAAUAGGGAAAUGGUCAUUUUCAAAAUCAAAGGAAUUAUCAAAAUUAUGGCAGCAAUAAUGGAAGAUUUAAUAAUCGACCCAGAUCUAAUAGAGGUAACAAUGGCAGAUUUUCUAGGAAUUCCACCAUGCCUUCUAAUAAUUUUGGUAACAGUGGAGGAAUUGGAAUGGCAACAUUGGUUCUAAGUCUACUCUGAUUCCUAAAUGUCAAAUUUGUAAUAAGCGUGGGCAUACUGCACCAAAUUGCUUCUCUUGGUAUUUUGCAAGUUCUAGCACUGUUCCUUCAAUUCUAGAGUGUCAAAUAUGUGGGAAACGAGGGCAUACUGCUCUUAACUGCUACCACAGGAGCAAUUAUGCUUAUCAGGAUGCUCAACCACCAUAUUGUCUCACUGCUAUUACUGCACAAACAAAACCAAGUUUUGCUUCUUCAUAACCAAAUUGGGUGCUAGACACAGGUCACAUGAUAGUAGAUUUGGAUAACUUGACUCUGGUGGCCCCUUUUGAAGGAAAUGAACGAAUUACAGUGGGUAAUGGUUAAGGACUUCCGGUUGCUUGGGUUCCAUUUUCACUCCUUCGAAACUAUUAACUUUGCAAAUGGUUUUACAUGUUCCUAAAUUCGUUGCUAGUCUAUUAUUUGUUGAUAGACUGUGUAAAGAUAACCAUUGUUAUGUUAUUCUUGAUGAGUUUGGUUUUUGGGUGCAGGACAAGGCAACAAAGAAAAUCAUCGAAAGAGGAAGGAGUAGUAGUAGUGGCUUGUAUUACAUCCCUCAGCAACAUUUUUUCCAGUAUUCUCAGCUUUUGGACACUCCACCACAUGCUUUUUUAGGGAAGCUUGUGAAGUCUUCUAUUUGGCAUCAUCGACUUGUUCUAUAACCACGAGUUCAGCUAUUUCAUCUGUACUUGAUUCCACUUUGCAAAAGUUAUCUCAUACCAUAGUGUCUGUUGUUUUACCAAGGCAUUUGAAUGAGUUUGAGGAACAAUUAUCAAAUAUGGGAGUGCCAUCUUUGUCUUCUCAAAGUUCCAGUGUAUCUGCCAGUUUAGAUAGCAUCUCAGCACAAGUUACUACUCCUACUACUACUCUACUAGCAACUUCUUCUUCCUCUCAAGUGUUGCUUAUCCAUACUCAGACCCCAACUCAAGUAUCUUUUUCUUUUCCUGAGCCAUGAUAGGAGCAUAUUUAUGCAACUUAGUUAGCUUGUCUCUUGGUAUUUACUUAGUUUAAUUCUAGUUAUUUUAGUACUUUAAGCUAUUUUCGUGUGUUUGUAGGUUCAAAUAACAAAGUUACCAACAAAGUGCUAUUUGGAGCCUUUUGGAGCCUUUUUGGGCCAAGAUUGGAUAGUGCAAGCAUGGAGACAUAAGGAUGGAUGUUUUUGAAGAUUUGAAGGCUAAAAAUCAGCAUGUGUGUGUGCAAGUGUGUUGACCUACAACUCCAAACAUCCAUCAAUUACACCCAUUACAUCCACUCAUUACCAAACACUCAUCCACUACACCCAUUACAUCCACUCAUUACCAAACAUCCAUCCACUACACCCAUUACAUCCACUCAUUACCAAACACUCGUCCACUACACCCAUUACAUCUACUCAUUACCAAACAUCCAUCCACUACACCCAUUACAUCCACUCAUUACCAAACACUCACCCACUACACUUAUUACCAAACACUACACAUUACCCACUACACCCAUUACAUCCACUCAUUACCAAACACUACUCAUUACCAAACACUCGUCCACUACACCCAUUACAUCCACUCAUUACCAAACAUCCACCCACUACAACCAUUUCAUUACCAAACAUCCACCCACUACAACGAUUACAUCCACUCAUUACCAAACAUCCACCCACUACAACCAUUACAUCCACUCAUUACCAAACAUUCAUCCACCACACCCAUUACAUCCACUCAUUACCACAACACUUAUCACUACCACCUUAAUUAGACGGUGGUCCUCCCUAGCCUAUAAAUACAUCCACCCUUCACCAUAACAAUGGGGAAGAAAACGAGAGAGAACACAAUCCACCCAUCCACCCUUCACCAUAACUCACCUAUAUCCAUCCACCACCAUAAUUUACCACUCAUCCAUCAAACCACACCUUGUGCCACAAAAAAGAGAAAAAGGAGGACCCUUGGACGUGUUUGCCAUUCAAGUUGGAUUGUUGAAGCGUUUUUAGGUGUUUUCUUUCUUUUGUUUUCAAUGUGUAAAUUUGUUUAUCUUUGCUUUGUAAGUAUGAGGAACUAAACCCCCCCCUUAGCUAGGGGGAAUUCGAAACCAUGUUCAUGCUUGCAAUAUGAUUUGAUUACCUUCAGUUAUGAUUUCAUAAGUUGUGAAUUCAAUUUGUUUAACUGCUUGAUUGAUAACUUAUUCGUGUAUGUUUAUUAAGAGUGCACACUUAGUUUGCAUGCAUGAAUAUGAUGCUAGAGUAUAAGGGAGUUUCACCUAAUAGUUACAAACUUAUAUUCACAAGUAGUGGAGGUCGCUUAUAAACGAUCGCGUUAAAUAAAUUUUUGGCAGGAGUUUCAUGCUCAUCAUAGUAACGAAUGCCUCGUCAAUACUUAUAGUUUUCAUAAUGCUUAAUGAUCUUUGAUUGUAUCUUUAUUGUGCUUUUCACGUAAAAAACUUUUGAAGAAUGCUUGAAUUGUUGUAUGCGCUUUCCUAUCAAAUUCAAUAACUUAAGGAGAACUUGAAGGUUAAUUUAAGCGGACUUAAUUAACCUGGGGUGUUGAGUUUCAUGAUUGAUCGAAAGAACAACUGAAAAUUGGUUUAUGUGCAAAUAUGUCAUGUGUGGAGAAGAACCUCUUAGCUAGCCUUCCAUCCAUUCAAUUUACUCAAAUUCGUGCAGAUUUCAUUAGUUCUUUAAUUUACUUGUUUUGUUUUCAAAUUCGUCAAAACCAAAACCCCCUUUACUUUAAAGUGUUUUGUUAGUCAAAAUCUGUUUUGAUUUGUGUUUUAGGUGUCCCAAAAGUGUGUUAGAGUCCAAGUCUGCCCAGUUUGUGUUUUUAGGCAGAUUGAGCGUUUUUAGCUUGUUUUGAGUCCUUUGAGUUUGUUUUAAAUUCUUUGAGUCUAGUUUAGUGUUUUUAACUUUGUUUAUAUGUUUUUAAGUCAGUUUAGAGGUUUUAGUAAGCCUUCCUAAUCCCCGGUUUAGAACGAUCCCUACUUGCAUUUAUACUACAAUUUGACAACAAAAGGGUUUAAUUUGUGUGUUAAGUUAAAAUUCGCAUCAAGCCAUCUCAUACAUCUACAGAGUUUGAUACUCAAAUUACUCAUUCAAAUCAUGAACAUGAUGUGUCUAACACUGUUGUGCCUAGUAAUGUAGUAGUUGUUUCUUCUGAUCAUAAUAUGGUUACAAGGUUGAAAAGUAGUGCAAUCCAAAGAAGGAACUAUGCAGCUUAUCAUGCAUCUUUAUCUGAUAAUGAGUUUACCCUUCUUUCACAUACUGAUGAUGUAGUCUUUUGUGGUUUUACUUCUGUGUUGGAUACUCAUGAUUCUUCUGAGCCUUCUCAUUAUAAAAAGGCAGUUCUAUCUCAGCACUGGCGCAAUGCUAUGACAGAAGAAUUUAAUGCUCUUCACAAACAAGUUACUUGGGAGUUGGUACCUUAUCCAAAAAAUAAAAAUGUCAUAGGUAGCAAAUGGGUGUAUAAAAUCAAGAAAGAUCAAGAUGGCAAGAUAUUGAGGUACAAGGCUCGACUUGUUGCACAAGGAUAUAGUCAAUAACAAGGCUUGGAUUAUGAAGAAACGUUUAGCCCGGUUGUUCGACAUACUACAGUUAGGCUUGUUUUAUCUCUUGCUACUAUGCAUAAGUGGGACUUAAGGCAAUUAGACGUGAAAUAUGCAUUUUUACAUGGUGAAUUACAAGAAGAGGUGUUUAUGAAACUAACUCAAGGGUUUCAAGAUCCUUUAUAUCCUAACCAUGUUUGCAAACUUCUCAAAUCUUUGUAUGGUUUAAAACAGGCACCACGAGCCUGGAAUGCAAAGUUUACCAGUUAUCUUCCUACUUUGAAGUUUCAGUCUUCUCACUCUGAUCUGAGCUUGUUUGUGAAAUUCUGUGAUGGUGAUGUAGUAAUUCUUCUUUUAUAUGUCGACGACAUUAUUAUUACAGCAAGCAAUUGAUGAUUUGGCCUCUGUAUUUGACAUGAAGGACAUGGGCAAACUCACUUAUUUUCUGGGACUUCAAGUUACCUACAGAGAAAAUGGGGAUAUUUUUCUUAGGCAGUCAAAGUAUGUCAUUGAUCUUCUUAAUAAGGCAGGUAUGGUGCAUUGUAGGCCUUGCUCCACUCCUAGUAAACCUCAUACACAGUUAUUGAAGGAUGAAGGAGAAUCAUUGUCUGAUCCCACAGUUUAUAGAAGUUUGGUUUGUGCAUUGCAAUAUUUGACCUUUACUAGGCUAGAUAUUGCAUAUGCAGUCAAUUAUGCUUGUCAAUUCAUGAAUAACCCAAUAGAAGAUCAUUUCUGUUUGGUGAAGCUGUGCAUACUUAGGUAUUUGAAGGGUACUUUGACCUGUGGCAUUACUUAUUCAGCUACUGGAAAAUUGGAGUUGCUUGCCUAUAGUAAUGCUGACGCAGCUGAUAUCAAUACUAGACGAUCAACAACUAGAUAUGUUGUUUUCCUAGGAUCUAAUCUCAUUUCUUGGCAGUCAAAGAAGCAAGGCAAUGUGUCUAGGAGUUCAACAGAGGCUGAAUAUAAAGCAUUGGUUAAUGCAACAGCUGACAUUGCUUGGAUUCGACUGGUUCUUAAUGAUCUUCAUAUGUUUCUUCCUUGUGCUCCUGUGUUGCAUUGUGAUAUUCUGUCUACAUUAACUUUGUGUUCUAAUCCAGUCUUUCACACUCGGAUUAAACACUUAGACACUGAUUUUCAUUUUCUUCGUGAAAGAGUACAAAAAGGGGAUAUGGAGGUUCAGUACAUUCUUAUAGAUGCUCAGAUUGCAGAUGUCUUAACAAAAGGAUUACACAAUCCUUUGUUUGUUCGUCAUUGUUCCAAUCUCAGACUGGGUUAUCCCAGCUGAGAUUGAGGGGGAGUAUUAACAAAAGACACUUCAACAUUUGAUUAACUUAGUGGUUAAGUUUUAUCUAAAUACUAUGAUUUUAAAGUCUUUAAAUAUAGUCUUUAAAAUCACAGCUGUUAUCCAAAUAUAUAUAGUCUUUAAAAUCAUAGUUGUUAUAUUUAGAAUCAUGUUUAGCCUCCCUCUCGGUUGGAGAUGUUUUUUGUCACAUGGCUAUGUUUGGCCUAUGGUCAUUUGGCCCCUUCGGUUGGAGAUUGUAUGAAAUAUGGUAUGGCACUGUUCAUUAAAAUAUAAUUUCUUAGAGGGCUAUAGUGUUAAAAAGAGUCAUCUGGCCUUCUUUCGGUUGAAGAUGGCCUCAGUCUUUCUACUUGGGCAUUUUCUAUUAUAUGGAAUUAAUUUGAAAAAAAAAAAAACAUAAAUGCAUCCUUCGUGUUUCAAAUUGAAAACAAUUCACAAAAACCAGUUUUUUUCCCCACUAAGCAAGCAGUUUUUUUUUUUUUUUUUUGUUAUUUAUCUUACUUUUAUAGUGUGUGUGUAUAUAUAUAUAUAUAUAUCCAAAUAGAUACAUAAAAGAAAUUUGGGGCUAGUAAAUCAGAGGUCCUAGGCAGUCGCCUUACUCAGCUUCCCUCAAGGCUAGCCCUAUGUCACUAUAAGAGCAUUUCCAACUGUUGCUUAUAAGCAAGGGCAAAGGCAAUGCAAUUGCCCAAAACACCUCCAACAGGACAAUAAAAGAAAUAAAGGCAAGUGGUGGACCAAGCCAUGCUAGCCCAAAUGCCCAUGUAAGUUAAGCAUUGCCUUCCUCAACAGGCAUGGCUGACUCAGCCACGGUCUUUACGUUUUUUCCAAUUUGUAACACAUGUCCAAAAUCAGGGUGUGAGCCAACAAAACCUGCAAUAGUAGGCCUUGUUGCAACACUAAUUGAAGAGCCUAACGGCUCUAUGACGUGGCACGAUGAGAGCCGUUGGAUUUCCAACAACCUGAUGAUCUGGACUAUUGGAUUUUCAAUGGUAAAGAAUUUAAAAAGUUAUCGAUGCACCAUGUUGCACGUUCUAGUGCGUCAGAUUCAACAAUAAAAAAAAUCAAACGGUCAGGAGUAAUUUGAUUGUUAAAAAUGGAAGGAAAAAAAGAAGAAGAUGGCGAUGCAACAAAUACGGAAGAAGAUUCAUACACAAUUUGUCGAGCUGAUUCAACGCAUAUCCAGGUCUGAGCUAUCUCUAUUGAGUAUAUGCAAACAUCUAAGUAAGUCAACAUAGAGAGUUAAAAUCUGGGCAAGAAGCCCUCACAAAAGCAUAAUCUAUUUAUCAAAAUGGCAAUAAUAUAGCCAAUAAGGUAAUAACAUUUUAUUAUUAAUAAAUUUCAAAUGUGAUUAACAUGUUAUUAUUUGGACCAUCAGGUAAUUAAAAGUAAUCAUUGAUUAUGUAAUUUAUAAUGUUGUUUCAUAAUUCUUUGCUUUGCAUUUGAAAUUAAAUUAUUAGAGUUAAACAUGGAGUUUUACUUUCAAAGAACAAACUUACAAAGUGCACACUUAAACACUUACAAGGCAUAUAUAAAUAAAUAAUAUAUAUUUGUGAAUAAUAAUCGCCCUUAUCUGCGACAACUCGUCCUUAAUUUUAAGUUUUAUAAAUUUUAAAAUAGUGAUUUUAUGAAAAUGCCCUUAGAGGCAAGGAUGUUUGACUUUCGUUGACCAUUCGAAGUCACAAUUAAUGUUUCCGAAUAGAUUUUGAAGCUACGAACGCAUAGGCAAAAGCCGUUUGCGAGUUCGGAUUAUAACAGUAUAGUUACGGACAUUUGAAGUCGUUUCAUUAAACAAUAGAUUUAAAGGAAUAUAAACUCCCACCUUGUGGGAAAGAGGCCAUUCAGGCUAAAGGGAAGGAACCAAUCAGUUAAAUGGUGGAGGACCAAUCAGAAUUUAGGGGGGAGUGAGCAACCAAUCAAAGAGAAGGAGGAAAAAAAAGAAAAGAAAUGAAGCUUUCCUUCUCGACGACUUGUGCACCUGCACAGGGCUCAACCAAUUCCGCCAACUUUCGCCAUUUUCCCCAUCAAACCGCCAUCAUCCAACACCUGCAAUCCUUUCCACAACCUCCCCUCUACCAUCUCCACCCAAAUUCGAAGGUUUUUAAGUCCAAAACCGUGUAGAACCUCACCGGAGCACCGGAGGUGCUUGACGGUGAUUCCUCCGAUCCAGUGAGUUUCACCACCCACCACUACCCUUAAUCAACUCCCCUUAGACCCAGGAAUAAGAUCCAACCAGUGAUAGGGGCGUUGGAACACCGGCAAAGUCGAAUCGAUGAACACCUAUUAUAGGGUUUCAGACGGGUUCGUGGCGAUUUGAGGUUUUUUCGGCCAAAUUGGACUUGGCCACAUAUAUAAAACUUGCUCUACUCAUUGAGAUCUUCAUUUAAUUGAAAUUUGAGAAUUUUUAGAAAUAGUUUAUUUUUCCGGCGAGUUGGGACGGUCGACUGUCGUUUGCAGCGGCAUGUGGGCCGAGGCACCCCCUAACCUUCCUAAGCUAAGUUUGAUACCCCAAUUCCAUAUGUGAAGUCAGAUUGAUGAAAUCUCAUCGUUUGAACAUAGUUUUGAUAGAGACCGCUACUUGAUCCUUGUAUGAAUUGACGAACCGACCGUUGGAUCAUCACCAAAAUUUAAUAUAUUAUAGUAUGUAAUAUUUUAGGAUAUUAGAAACUUACGGAUUGGGAAUCCAACUUAUGGAUCUUCCUAAAAUGGAUUUGUAAGUUCGUAAAAUAAAACGUUGACCGCCACUUGAAUUUGCAAUUGGUGGAGAUCCAACCAUUGGAUCGUAAUGAAACUUUAGUAUGAUGUUCUAGAAGCAUAAUGUGGAUCUUUUGAAGUUACGGAUCAAAAAUCUAAGUUGCGGAUCUUCCGGAUUGAGUUACGUAGGAUUAUGGACCCUACCGCCAACCUUUGACCGAUGAUUGAAUUUUGGUCAAUGGGUUUCAAAUCAUUCUAGAACGUCCUUAGGGGAUGUGUUUUAUGUAAGUUACGUGUUCUAUCGAUAAGAAUUCUAAGACGUUAUUUGAUAUUUAUUCUAGGCGACGAUUGUUCGUGAUGCCUCGAUAUUCGUGCUAGGGAGUUGUAGCCCGGACCUCAGGUGAGUGGGUCUUUUUCUUUUUAUAGUGUAUAGAUAGAUAUAUAUAUAUAUACACACACACACACACACACAUAUAUAUAUAUAUGGUUGAUAGUUUCCACAAAUGAUUUUGAAUUGAUUUAUGCAUAUCAUGCUAUGAUUAAAUAUUGUUAUUAAAAACUUUGCAUUGUUAUGAAAUUGUGAAAUGCCAAACGAUCCUACGGGAUGCGCAGGUUUGAUCAGGUGAGUUUAAUUUGUGAUUGGAAUUGUUGCACCAUAUUGGCAUGCAUAAAUUCAUUUAGUGCUCAUCAUUGUUGCACCCCAGUGUUAGUCAUCCUGUCCUGGGCCAGGGCACAGCCUUCACGUGUAUGUUCACCUCCCGCAUCGCACACUUACCUUGGAUCCAAGUAGGUGCUAGCCUAUCGUAUAGACUCGAUUAGGCAGUUUGAUGCGAAAAUUAACUUAACACACAAAUUAAACCCUCUUGUUGUCAAAUUGUAGUAAUAAUGCAAGUAUGGAUCGUUCUAAACCGAGGAUUAUGAGGGCUUGCUAAAACCUCUAAACUAACUCAAAAACAUAAAAACAAAGUUAAAAACAUUUGAAUAGACUUAAAGAACUCAAAACAGGUUCACAAGACUCAAAAUAAUUUAAAGACACUCGAAACUGCCUAAAAACACAAACUAGGCAGUUUCUGACUCUAACACAACUUUGGACGAAAUUUGGGUUUUGACUUGACUCAGAACACUCUAAAACACAAACAAAACAUAUUUUAAACACUUUGAAACAAGAAAGUAAAAGGGGGAUUUAGUUUUGAUGAAUUUGAAACAAAUAAACAAGUUAUAAAACUAGGCAGAUUGUAAAACGAAUUUAAGAAAUAAGAUAAUGGAUGGAUUAGUUAGAGGUCCGUUCUUCACACAUGACACACUUGUAUAUGAAUUGAUUUCCAAUUGCUUUUCAAUAAACUAUGAUGCUCAACACCCCAGAUUAAUUAGAUACGCUUAAAUUAAUCCUCAGAUUUUCCUAAUUUCAUUGAAUUGGAUGAUUGCAUACAACAACCCAAAGCAUUCCCCACAAGUUCCCUACAUGAAUUGCAUAAUAGAGAUACAAGCAAGAAUCAUUAAGUUCUAUGAAAAUCAUAAGCAUUGACGAAACACUUGUAACUAUGAAUUGCAUGAAACUUAUGCCAAGAAUUCAAUUAACGCGAUUGUGAUAAACAACCUUCACUACUCAUGAAUAUAAACUUGUAACGAUUAGGUGAAACUCAUUUAUAUUCUAGCAUCUAAUUCAUGCAUGAAAACUAAGUAUGCAUGAAAACUAAGUAUGCAUCCUUAAAUAACAUACAAGAAUCAGUUAUGAAUAAAAUAGAUAAUUGAAUUGCAAUCACAACUUAUCAAAUCACAAUUGGAAGAAAUCAAUUUAAAUCUCAAGCAUGUUCAUGGCUUCAAACUUCCCCCUAACUAAAUAGUGGUUUAGCCACUCAUAAUUGCAACAAAAUUAGAAAAUAACAAAGUAGACAUUGAAAGCAAGAACGAAGUACACCUAAAACGCUCCAAAGUUCCAAGCUUGAAACGCCAAGGGCCUUUGUUUUCACCACCUUGUUGUAGCAUAAGUGUCUAGGAUGUGUAUGGAUAUAUGGAUAGAAUGGAUUUGCAUGACAUAGAAAAUGGAAAUGUAUGGAGAUGUGUUUGAAUGUAUGGAUGAAAUGGAAUGGAGCUCAAGGCAAGGGACUUGUGUUUGUGAAUGAAGCUCUUUUGAUGGAUCAAGAUUGUCGUUCUUUGGAAGGGGGGUGGUGGAUGUAUUUAUAGGCUAGGGAGAGGACCACUCCAUUUCCUUUGCAUGUGCAGAUUGCAUGGGUGUGUGCUGUCCAUGUUUCUCCUUUCCUUUUCCACCCAUUUUCUGAACCUUUCAGUGUUACAAUGCCCAUAACCUCUUCUAGAAAAAUGAUAUUAACAAUCCGUAAAUUGUUCUAGAAAAUAGACAUCCGUAGCUUUCCAGGCAUAUAAGGCUCAUUCUCUCAUUCAUUAUACGAUGUUCGUAACAUGCUUUCAAAGUCAGCUAAUCUGCACAGGCAGUUUUGACGAAUUUGUUGGCUGUCCAUGUUUCUCCUUUCCUUUGCAUGUGGUUGUGUCUUCUCUUUCUAGCUGUGCAUUUCCACUUGAUCCAAAGCCAAAUGAGUGCAAUCAUAACCCCAUUUGCUGCUGAGUGUUGAUGACAAAGCAAAACACAAAACAAGUGCCUUUACUUUCUCAUUUUAUUAGCCAAAUCCGCUUAGCCCUUUUCUAAACCUUUAAGUGUUACAAUGCCCAUAACUUCUUCUAGAAAAAUGAUAUUAACAAUCCGUAAAUUUCUCCAGAAAAUAGACAUCCGUAGCUUUCCAGCCAUAUAAGGAUCAUUUUCUCAUUCAUUAUGAGAUGUUCGUAACAUGCUUCCAAAGUCAGCUAAUCUGCACAGGCAGUUUUGACGAAUUUGUUGGUUGUCCAUGUUUCUUCUUUCCUUUUGCACACACAUGCUUCAUCAUUUCAGCCAAAUCAACACAUGUUCUCCAUCACAUGGCAGCUAUGAUGUUUGUUAGUUGUAGGUCACACACUUGCACACACAUAUGUUGAAUUCUAAUCUUCCCAAAACGUCCAUCCUCAUGUCUCCAAGUGCAUGCAAUCCAUUUCAGCCCAAAAUUGCUCCAAAAUGCACCAAAAUGCACUUUUCUUGCCAACUUUGUUAUUAGGACCUAACAACAUACGAAAAUGGCUUAAAACACUCUUAUAAGCAAUAACUAACUAAGUAAGUGCAAGAAAACAUGUUAACUAAGUCGCAUAAAUAUGCUCCUAUCACAGUUCCGACUCAUAGAUGACCCACGAUUUAUCGCUAGCCAUCACGUGAUCAUAGGACUAAAGCGUAUAUAUUUACACCCAGCUUGUCGUACAGGUCACACUAGGUGACUCCGACUCGUGUGCUAGCAUAGACUGAUGAGCAAUAGGUCCAUUCAUACAUGUCACAUUAGGUGACUCCAACUGGCACGCUAGUUGAUUAUUCACACCUGACUUACAUUUAUUUUUAUUGAGAUAUUGUGACAUGGCAUGCUUUUGUUGUCACUGCUUUUAUGCAUUGGUUCUUUAUGUUUACGUAGUGUUAUUUUCUGGAAACUAUACAUGUUUUACGGCAAGGGGUUAUAAUGUUUUCAUUGAAACUUUAUUUUUAGGCCCACUCAUCCUUGUUUUUCAUCCCUCCAGGUUUUAGCAGCAGAACUUUGUAUCGACGAGGAUUCUUGGCAAUUCUCAAUAUAGGUGGCUACCUUUGAGGGUAUAAUCAUUAUCCUAUCUUACUGUAUUUCACUUAUGCUCUGACAUCACGUGUGAAAUGGGUUCAUUCUCGCUCAUCGCGCACUCUUGUAUUUAGGCACUUUUAGGUUUAAAUUUAUUCACAUUUUCCAUCACACUACACUUUAUAACUUCGUCACCUUCCAGGUGUCGGCCAGCACAACAUGAUUUGGAGUCCAAGUAGACAUUCCGGAUCGAGGUGUGUCAUUAUCCUUGUUGAUCUAGUGGAGUUACACAAUGACAAUUACUUUCCAAAAGGGCAAUUGCCUUACUCCAACGAGUGUAACUGCUCUAAAGUAUCUCAUUUAGCAUAAAGAAUUAUGAGUAAAUGGGCUUAAACUUUGGUGCUCUCAAGUAGUCCAAAGUCUCAAUUAAAGAGCUUUUCAUAGGGUUUAUAGAGAUUGGCAACCUUCCACAAAUCAACUCCUCUUAAAUCGUAUGUAUUGGUUCCAUAUGAACUUGGUUGGUGUAAGGUUUAAACAAACGUUUUCGAAUGAUUCAUGUCUAUGUAGCCAUUUGCAAUUCACCUCAAUCAUUUAAUCAUUUCAAAUUCCUCUAUUUAAUAUUGCACAAUGCAUUUCUAACUAAAGUAGCCUAAAUUCAUUGGUAUUUGAUAACCUUCAUUCAAAUACAAUAAUAAAUCUAGUAUUGUCUCUAGCAUUGGUUUUAGCCUUCGGGUCUUUCACGUGAGAAGCAGUUAUAUGAGACGGGUUCAUCAUUACAUGAUUUUUUUUUAUCUAAUAAUGUGUUGUUAUGUAAAAGUUUUUCUUUACAUGGCAACAUAUUAUUAUAUUGAGACAUCAUGUCAUGUAACAGUAAACUCAUUUCAUAUAAAUUGCUCAUUUUUUUUACUCCAUUAUCCUUUUUCGCUUGGGCACCAUAAAGAAGUCAUCCAAUGAUCGAUGAUCAUAAAAAUUAAUAAAAAGAUAAUCUUUAGAAUUAAAGUGGAAUUUGAAAUGGAAUCAAAUUUGAAUUGAGAUCCAAACCUUCGUAUUAAACUAGAACAAGUUCACUAAAUAAAGGUGAGGCCAACCACCAACCAAUAUUUAUACAAAAAUAAUCGCAUUCCACUCCGACCCUACCGAAUUCUUCAGGCCAUUAACCACCAUUGAAUAAACAGUACAGAAAAUCAUAAAGUAAUUAUGCUCUUAAACCGAAAAGAAAUCGAGAGUAAUUAAUAAUUAGUGCCAAGAUAUCAUUAAUAUUAUUUUUAAGGAUUCGGACGCGUAUAGUGAUAUAUUCUAUCAUUACGUCUCUCAGAUUCCGCAUCGAUUGGUGCGAGAUAUUCUAUCGUCAAUGUUUCUCGGACACUUUCUUGUUAAACCCAUUUACUACAACUAGGGAUUAAAUUUUUUGCCAAAUUACCAACCAUAUUAUACUAAAGUUCUGUAAAAAAAUUUGUAUCAUUGGUAAUGAUACGAUAUUUGUAUCGUACCAUACAUUUUUGGAAGAUAAUAGUAUUCAAAAUCAUUACCAAUUAUAUACCAUACUGUAACACUACUAUUAAUAUUAUAUAAUUUAUUUAUUCAUUUAUAUAUAUUUACGUAUUAUUAUAAUUAUAUAUGCACUUUAUAUUUUUUUUCCUAGUCAUUUAUCCAAUCAUCUCACAUUCUAACCUCUACUUUCCCAAUAAAAAAACAUAAGCCUUCUUACGCUGCGACUCUUCAUCUUUUCACUCAUCUAGCCACCGACUUCAUCUAUGUUGCUCUAGUUUCGGCGACUGUCUCUCCGGAGUCCACCUCAUCUUCUCCUUUAUCAAAUUGGGAUGUCUUUCUCCCUGGCUUUGUCUAUCAAGUUAAUUUUUGUUUAAUUUUAAAGAAUGUAAAGAUGAAAUUUAAGAAUCUUUGUACUAUUUUUUUAGGGAUAUUGGGUUCUUUGAGCAAUUCUUCCAUCUGUUUACUUCUUUGUUUCUUUAAUGAAUCUUUAUAAAAUUCUCAUAAUUAAAUAAAAAAGUUUUAGAAACCCAAAAGGAGUGACCCAAACACGUUUGGGCCUUGAAUUGGGUUGGAAAAAAAAUCAAAUUUUGGCCCAAAAGAAUGACCCAAAACAAAGUGGUAAUUACCAUUACCAUAUCAUGUCAACCGAACUAUUUGGCAUGCCGAAAUUUGGUAUAUCGAAAGUUUGGCACAGUAAUGAUAAUAGAUUUUAUCAUACCAAAAGUUUGGUACGGUAAUUGAUACAUGGGUUUUGGUACGAUAAUUGUACCAAUACCACCCCUAACUACAACUAUCCAAUCAAAGACUAAUCCCGUUUCAUGAGAGAAUUAUGACUAAUAUCAAUUUCACGAGAAAUUUUUCAAGGUGACAGGAACCCACAUAACCAUGGACACUUUAUGUAUCCAUUUAAUCGGAGGAUGUCACAUGCCUAACCGAAGAAUCUACCUAAUUUAUUUUUAAUGAAAUUACGCUGUCUGUUCUAUUAAUAAAUCCACAAGGUUUAUCUUUUAAAAUGUUAAUUAAAUUAGAACUAAAACAGAAAAAUAAAAAUAAAAAUCUCCAAUCCAAAUAACCCCGUCCCCGGCGAGACACACCACCCCCGAUCCCACCACCACCACCUCUGAUCCCGUUCAAAUCUGGUACCGCCACCACCUCCCUCUCUUGCUCUUCCUCAUAGACGAACAAUAACAGGCACAGUGGCAGACGUCGACGCUAUUCUACCCCUCCCCGAACCCAUGCGGACCAUCUUCCUCAUUGUCAUCUUCAUCAGCAUGAUUUUCAAGUUUUUCUUUGACGUGCUAUCUUUGCUUCUUGUUGGGUUUUUUUGUAAGAUGUAAUCUGAAAAUCAACAAGUUACUAGGAUUACAGAUAUAACAAAUAUAACUACAAUAAAUCAAUCAAACAAUUAAAGGGAAAUAAACUUAUCUUCCAAAGCAGAGGAAGAAGACGCUAUGACUGCUAGGGUUUCAUAGGUUGUCUUCUACUUCCAGUACUUCAAAAUGUCUCUCUACCGUGAAUAGGGUUUGGCAUGAUUGAGAGUACAAGCAUAUGGAAGCAGGAACUUAACUGUGGUAUUUAUAUCAUUAGGGUUUUCAUCACAUCCGACCUAUCAUUGGCUAUGAAGAUCUACCCUAUCUCUCUAGUAUUUAAGUCCCACCAUGAUACGAUACCUUUGUAAUAAAUCUAUCAGAUUUCCUCUAGGUUAAUUGCAAGGGACAAGACUCCAUAAUCCUUAUUAGGUUAGGACUAUCGGAUCACUUUGGUUGCUAACCACUCGAUAGACAAUUGGCUUACAACAAAAAGAUCCAAUACAACAUUCAUUGUCAUUCACAAUCUUAUAUUCUCCCACUUGAAUGUCAAUAAUUCAUCCUAACAAAAUAAGAACUCAUUGUGAUCACUGAGUCUUCAUAAGUAUGCAAUAACCUUUCCUAGCAACCUGUCACUUUGAAUCGAAUGCCGAACCAAAGAAAAACAAAGAACAACUUGGUCUGUUCCUUGCACUCCAAGAUCACAUACACAUUCAACUUAAAGCACUUUGUUGCUAACAAAGUCAUGGUGUCAAGAGCUAAUAGUCAAAACAUUAGCUCACAAUAGUCAAACUGAAAAUAUGAAAAUAUAUUUCAGUACAAAAGUAGUUCACAAAAGAACUCAACAACGUUGGUAACAACAUCCAACUUCUCUGUCAAUUUAGAAUAUGAUAAGAGAACAAGUAAAAUAUGACAUACUAUUUACAAAAUCAGAACCUCUUAUUAAAACUUAUGAACAAAACUUAAACAAAAUUUACUCUUAAAAUAUCAGCCACUAACACUUCAAAAUUUUAACACAAAAGGUAAUCUCUUACUCCCACUGAUUAGUAGAGAUAAACAAAUUAUUACUCCCACUGAUUAAGAGAGUAAAAAAAACUUUAUAAAUGCCUAUAAAAUGAAACUGACACCUUUCAAAUACUCCCAUUAGCAAAACAUUAGUCAUGGGAUCUAAAACAUAAAAUUUGUGAGCUCAACAUCUUUAUUUUAGAUAUUUGUAGGGAAGUGAUUCUCGUGACUGAAAAACUAUACAAAAUUAUUUGGUCAGUUUUGUUCAUCUAACAAUUGACAGAAAUAGAAAACUUUAACUGAAUGUUUUCUAAUGCAUCAAAAGCAUAUAAUUCUAGAAUCAUCUUUGGAUAGAAACUAAUUAUAUUAGGUUUGUAUAGCUAAAACAUAAAAUACAAGGGCAAAUGUAUAUAGCUUCAACACUUUUGAGCAGAUGAAGUAUAUGCAAUCUUGUCAAUUUCAUGUUUCACCAUACAUUGAUUUAUAGUUGUACUGAAAAAGAAAACACUUUUGAGCAGAUUAAUUAUUCAUCAAUAACAUAUAAAUCACAAGUCCAAUUUCUUGAACAACAUACAAGAAUUAAUAAGCAAAACACUUUUGAGCAGAAUAUACUCAUUAACCCUUCUUGAAUUUCCUACAAGAUUAGUUGCAUAUAUAACAAAUAAAAUAUAAAUAAGUAUGAUAAUGUACGUUUUAUCUACCAAAACUAUGACCAUUAAAAGCAUGCAAAAUUGAUGAGUGUGAAGCCCAUAAUACAUUAUUUCUCCCACUUGGGCAAACACUCAAAAUUGCAAGAUUAAACACUAGAGAAAGUGAUUUUCAUUUAACAAAAUAUAUGCAAGUUGAAUCAAUCAAGAUCAAAUACAUAAUUUUUUUUUUUAAAGUAGGUUAGAAUUAAAAAGUUCCAUAAAUAAAAACUUAUGCAAUGACUACAAAUUUUAUUUUAUUUUAGUGUAUGAGAGAAGACUCACAUAUGUGUUAAAGAUUAGGUCAUCAAUUAAAAUGAAACCUAAUAAGAGAAUCUGUUGAUGCACAAAUAUCAGCGAGGACUUUGGUACAACAGAAAGUGUCAGGUUGUGACCUUCGCUUGGUUGCUUCGAUCACUUUUGAAGAUAAGUACGUAAAUGAAUAGGGACAGGGAAGCAAACACAAGAUGUACGUGGUUCACCCAGAUCGGCUACGUCCACGGAGUAGAGGAGUUCUCAUCUACGAUGCAUGGACACGGGGAAAACUCAACGUAUCCCGUAUCUGACACGCAGGGAUACGGAUACGUACAAAAUACGUAUGGAUACGCGCCCGAUACGUAUCGGAACGAAGGUAUACGUUCUUUAUUACCAAGAUACGCGUAUCAUAUUGUCGAGAUACGCGUAUCAUAUUUUUCGGAUACGUUUCAAGCAAAAUCAGAGGAUAAUCAGAAAAAAAAUCCAAUAGAUCCGCACAGAAUCGUGAUUGAUUCGAAUUAGAUAACUUAAACGAUUGUUUAACUAAAAACCAAAACGAUUUCGAACCUCAGAAAUCAGACUCAUCUGCAAUUGCUCCGUCCGUCCGUCGUCUCUAUCGUCUCCGUCUGCAACUGCUCCAUCGUCUCCAUCGUCUCCGUCUGCAACUCCUGGUGAGAGCCUUCGACUUUGUUUUCACUUUGUUAAUUUUGAAGCUCAAUCUGAUUGCAGAACCCCUCUGAAAUUGAAAGAAACAUGCUGCUCUGUUUUUAUUCGAAGCUAAAAGCCCCAUUUCUGCUUUAAGCCAUUGACUAAUUCAAUGUAUCUGUUAUGCAAAAUUGAAAAAGCCAAAACCCAAUUUUGCUUUCUGUAUAAUAUAUUAUUUUGAUCUUCGAAGAUCAAUCAAUGGGGUCAGAUGGUGUGCAAUCAGUAAUCACUUAUCUGUUAUACAAAAUAAUAUUAUAUACAAAAUACUCGUGCCCACUUUUGCUUUCUGUAUAUAAUAUUAUUUUGUAUUUUGUAUAUUAUAAAUAAUAUACUAUUGUGCUUUCAUGAUAUUUAGAUUAUAAUAUUUUAUGGAUUUCAUGAUGUAUUUUUUAAUCUCUUAAGUUAAUAUAAAUUUCUCGUGUAAUAGUCUCUGUCUAUACAGUGGAUUGACUCUUAUUGUUUAUAUAUUUGAUUCUUACAAUUUACAUGUUGAUAAUUUAGGAAAAUGAAUCAUCCUGAUAAUCAUGCGAAUGCUAAUGUCAACCUAGUUGAGAAUGUUGAAAAUGAUCAUGGUACACUAUGGAAGUAUGUCAAAAAGCUCGAAAGAGUGGAAAAUGGAAGAGGAGGUAGUGUGUUUCAAUGCAACUAUUGUCAAAAGAUUUUCAGAGGAUCUUACUCUAGGGUCAAGUUUCAUUUGUUAAAAGUGUCUGGAAAUGGGAUCGUCUCUUGCAAUAAGGUUACUGAUGAAGCUCUUGCAGAAAUGAAAAAGCUAGCUCAAGAAUGAGGGACUCUUUCUUUUUAUUUUUUAAGUCGUUUGGAUGUUCUUUUUAGUUUUUCAAGUUUGAAGACUAAUUUGUUUAGUGGAUUAUCUUUUAAAUGUUUGAAGUUUAUCGAAAUAAAUUUGAACUUGAAUAGUAUAUUUGAAUGCUUAUUUUAUAAUAUUUAGAUAUAUUUAUUUAUUUAUAUUAUUUUUAAUUGCCGUAUCCUUGCCGUAUCGUGUCUUCAUUUUUAGAAAUUUGACGUAUCCCCGUGUCGUGUCGUAUCGUAUCUCCGUAUCCGUGUCCGUGUCCAUGCAUCAUAGGUUCUCAUUAAUUGUGAAGGGUUUACACAAAUACAUAGGUUCAAGCUCUCAUUUUGUGAGUUCUAGUGAAUAGUUUAGUACAAAAUGACAUUAGAGAUUAUUGUGGGAGAAUGAUCCCUAUUUAUAGAAGAGAGUUUCUAGUUUUGUUCUAACAUUGACACGUGUUGUGUUGUGAUUGGCUUCUGAUGUUGACACAUGUCGAGCUGUGAUUGGCUUCUGAUGUCGACACGUGUCGCAUUGUGAUUGGCCUCCUGGUUGAAGGGAAGCUCUUCUGGUCCUUGACGGUAUAACGUUGACCGGUGCUCAGUAGUUUCGGGAUUGGUCAAGUAUGGUACAAACAAAAUCCAAACUCAAAAUUUAUGUUUUAAUUCUAAAACAAAGUCGAGUAAAAUAAACACUUAGAUAUCUCAACAACAACAAUUUUUUUUUUUUAAUAAUUUUAAUCCAAUUUAGAACUCACAGAAAAUUAAGGCAAAAGAUUGGCAAAUUUACCUACUCAUUCUUGAUUCUGCGAGAUUCAUCAUGGAAUUAGUCGAGUUGUGGAGGAUCGAACCAACUCCAAAUUGCAUGAUUGUUACACCUUCGGGCAGAAACUAAUCAUGCAAAGAAAAUACCUGCAUAGCUAGCCAAAACAUAAAAUACACAAAAUACAUAUAGCUUCAACAGCUUUGGCCAGAUGAAAAUAUGUUAGAAGUACUUUAUGAUAUAAUACUAUUUUAUAAUUGGUGAGUGAUUUCCUGAAAUUCCCAUUGGGACAAAAGUAUUCACCAUAUAAAUUAGAAUUCUGAUUUUUCAAAAUAAUCCUUUAGAACAGUAUUAAAUAACCGUUUUGUUGGAUAUUCAAUGAUUCUCAAAAGAUUCAAUCAGACACAAAAGUAUGUCAUUAUUGACAUUGAACAAUAGAGUUCUCGAAAGAGGAAACAUGGUUAUUCAGGUAUUCGAUAGAGACCAAAAUGAUCAAUUAGUAAACUAAUGCCACUUUCCAAUUUUCUCUCAAAAGACAAUCAUCAUAAUCAGAAUUGAUGACCAAACAAAACAUUGGUUUAAGCAAAACAAACCAAUACAUCUUUAAAUCAAAAUUUAAUCAGUGUUGUCUAUAUAAAAUUCAUUAGUAUUGAGAAUUUGCAUAUAAUAAGGACAUAUCGGAACCAUAACCUUGUAUAAUAAUCGGUACCAAUAGAUGUGCACAAAUUAGUGAAACAAUAUCACAUAACAAAACUAGUUUUGAAGUACCAAAAUUCAGCAGUACUACUUUAGUUUGCAAAUUCACUAAAAACUCAAUUCUCUUUAGAUUGUCCUGAAAAUUUUCAAGUAUGAACUAGACAUAUAUGACUACUAUUUCGAAAAAUUUCAUGAUUUUUAAAAUCUUAUAAGUGAGCCAAAAAUGAAUUCGAAAAGAGAGGUGCUACAGCAUUAAUAUGUGUAUUUGAUAUAUCAAAAUCUCCUUUUUAAGAUAAGAAAACAAUUUAAAAAUGACACCAAAAUGGCCACGGCAUUAAUAUGUGUAUUUGAGAAAUUUCCCAAAAGCACUUGAGUCUCAACUUUGCAAUUUUAUGUUUGAAGAUAAAAGUCACAAAGGACAAACGUAGCAAACAUAAAUUGUAAUAUUAUAUAUAUUAUAUUAAACGAAGGAUAAAUUAGACUUAUUAAUCCAACAACUCAUAUUUGAUUUUAGAAAAGAAAGUCUCAACAUUAAUUGGUCCCAACCAUCAGUCAUAGAAGCAUAAGAGAAAAUCAAAAGUUACCAAAUUCUUAUUCCUGAAGAGGGAUGCUUCCAGGCAUAACGAUAGAUGGAAGCGUAAAUCAACUUAAUUAAUAUGUAUGGGAAAGUUAGUUUGCAAAGCAGUUGGACUUUAUAUUCAAAUUAGUUUAACUAAUCAACUAACACACCAAAGUGGCCAUACCAUUAUUCUUGUAAACCAUUACUCAAAAAUAUGCAGCAAACUGGAAUAAAUGAAAUUAAAUGCAAUUGAGGAAAAUCCUCAAAGCCUCAUUCUAGGCAUUAGGAAUGAAGGCCGAGAAAACAUAAAAUGUGAACAUGAUAUAAGAUCACAAUGGCUCACUCAAGUUAUCUCCUAAUGGCAAGUGAUUCACAUUGAAAAAUCUUCGAAAACAACCAAAAUUUUAAACCUGAUCAUUGACACGGUGCGCUAGGAGAAAGAAGCAUGCAAAAUAAUUAUUAACUUAAAAUGGGAUUCCAAAACAAGGAACCCUAACCACUGCCCAGGAGCAACACAAAUGCCAACCAAGCGGAUCAAAACCAAUCUUGAUAUUAAUCAUGUUAAAAAAAAAUAACAAUAGUUAAAUUAUUUAUAUGCAUAUGUGCCAAGCCUUCGAACUUUAAAUCCAAUGCAAAAUUAUAUAUAUAUAUAUAUAUAUUUGAGGUAUAGCCAUAUAUAAAGCAAUCAAAUUUGCUUCUUAAUUAAUCAUUAUCUCGACAUGGCUAAGAAAACUUAUCGUUAAGUUUUCCCAUGAAAGCCAAAACAAAACCUUUUUUUGAUAAUUACAUGAGAAUCAUGAAGUUAGAAAAGUAAUUAUAAAAAUACUCUAAAAUUAAGCGGAAGCCUCAGGAUCGAUAAGUAAAAGACCUUUAACUAAAACACAAACUAAUUGUGCCUUCAGUUUGUCAAAAAUUUGUUCAAACAGAUUACCUUUAAUCCGAACCCUCAAGCUUUGCAAAUUUCUUGGCAGAUUUGUAUCUACAGACAAAAUAAUACAACUACACGCAGAAGUAAUUUCUGCAAAUGGGUCAAAUUAAAAAUAAUAAUAAUAACAUCUAAAUAAUUAUUUGCAAAGCCAAUAUGAUAAUCAAUCCACAUAUUGAAUUAUCAGCAAUUAAAUCAAUGAAUCGUAUUAUUUGCAGAAGCUUUACACAUUGUAAAGGAUAAAAGUGAUGGCAUGAUACGUUACCAUUAUAUUCAAAACCAACCAUGAUCGAAAUUCUGAAUCUUAGACGAGUUGAGUGGCUCUGAUACCACAUGUAAGAUGUAAUAUGAAAAUCAACAAGUUACUAAGAUUACAGAUAUAACAAAUAUACUACAAUAAACCAAUCAAACAAUUAAAGGGAAAUAAACUUAUCUUCCAAAGCAGAGGAAGAAGACGCCAUGACUGCUAGGGUUUCACAGGUUGUCUUCUACUUCCAAUACUUCAAAAUGUCUCUCUACUGUGAAUAGGGUUUGGCGUGAUUGAGAGUACAAGUGUAUGGAAGCAGGGACUUAACCAUGGUAUUUAUAUCAUUAGGGUUUUCAUCACAUCCGACCUAUCAUUGGCUGUACCAAUCUACCCUAUCUCUCUAGUAUUUAAGUCCCACCAUGAUACGAUAUCUUUGUAAUAAAUCUAUCAGAUUUCCUCUAGGUUAAUUGCAAGGGAUAAGACUCCAUAAUCCUUAUUAGGUUAGGACUAUCGGAUCACUUUGGUUGCUAACCACUCGAUAGACUAUUGGCUUACAACAAAAAGAUCCAAUACAACAUUCAUUGUCAUUCACAGUCUUACAUUUUUCUGAUAGGGCAUGAACUUGCAAGGCAGACGAGCACAGGAGUCGACUCAUUGAGUUAAUGGCGGCACGAGUUAGAGAUUGUAGUGGGGAAGACGGAUGAAAUAGAAUUUGGGAGGAGCGGGGAAGACAGAUCGGCCGCCAGGGAGGGGCGCUGUCAUUGUGGGUUGUUGGCUCGACUGUCGAGAUUUCUAUUAUUUAGUUUUAUAUUUUAUUUAAUUGAUUUUCUUAAAAAUUAAAUCAGGUAGACUUUAGUGGGGCACGUGACAUCCUCCGAUUAGAUGGGUAAACAAAGUGUCUAUUGUCACAUACAAGUAUAUGGAUUAUGAUGAUCUCCCAUUCUCUUUCCAUUCCCUUCCAUCAUUCUUUUCAUAUUCUCUAUUUUGUCUUUCUCUUUCUAUAAAAAUAAUAAUAAUAAUAAUAUAAGAUGUUGAUGUGGCUUAACCGUGACCAUUCAAAUAAGAGGGGAGGGUAAAAAAAAGGGAGUAUUUUUGCUCAUCACCAUUUAGUGUGGUAUAUGCUCACCACUUUAUUUAUCACUAUUAGAUGAGUUUGAAUUUCGAAUUGGUGUAGUAGAUAGGUAUAAAUCUCGAAAUUCAAACUUAUCUAAUGGUGAUAAAUAAAGUGGUGAGCAUAAACCACACUAAAUGAUGGUGAGAAAAAAUGCAUUCUAAAAAAAAGAGGGGAGAGAAUCCUUCUCCCAAGUAUAUACCACCAAUGGUGCAAAGGAGAAAGGACAAUGUGAGGAAAGCUAAAAUUUUAAAUUAAAUUUACAAAUUAAAUAAUGUGUAACAAAAAAAAAAAUUAAUGUGCUUGAAACACAAAGUUGUACACCAUGUGUCUCUAACAAGUGGUGAGAUUCUUGUGUUGAAAAAAUAAUAACAUAAAACAUAAAAUUUCCCACCACUUAUAUAAUAACACGUGUACCACUUGCAUUACGGGCAUAAGGAAAAAUUGCUAGUGUCACCAAUAGGUGCACGUUAAUCAAUACUUACAUAAUAAUUUAAUCAUCAACUACAUCGUUUGGUUUAAAAAUUUAGUAUCCUUAACAUUAUCCAAAGAGAAAUGCUAAGAGACUCAAAGGGUGAGAUUCUGCAAUUUCACGGUUUGAUGUUGAUUUGCAUGUCAAUGUAUAAAACAAUGUUGAUCCAAUCACACACAAGUAUAUACCACCAACGGUACAACUAAGGAGAAGUUUCGAACGAUCCCGCUACAUCAGGACCCUUUUAGAGCAUGUUUACGUACACGUAAUGGGAAUCAAAACAUGAAAUUAUAUUCCGAUUACGGACCAUUUCUAUGUUUACUAAAUUUUAAGGAAUCAAAAAUAUAGUGGGACCCACACAAAGUUUGGAAUUCAAUUCCUCACUUUGGAGGAAUUGGAUCCCUUGAUAGUAAGUGGUAUUUGAGUUUCGGAAGAAUGAGGGAAUGGGGAAUCCAUUUUUCAUACCCAUAAUGCCCUCACAUAAUUGCUGAAAUUCCAAUGAUAAAACAAGCACAGGUGCCCAGCGCUAGUCUGUUUCCUUCUCCCUCACUACCGCCCCCUUCCUGUCUUCCCAAGGCCACAUACCCACCAUCAUCUUCUUAGACAACAACGACAGCCAUAAAACAAGAAUAAGCGAAAGCUGAAGAAGAACCCAUUUUAGUUUUUUUUUAUUUUAAACAAUGCUAAAAACCAAACUCCGGACAUUCAAUCAACAUGAAAUACCCCGUAAACUAAACUUCAAAGAAAUUACAUCACCACAACCAACACUUCCCAUAGGCCUCAAACCAACCGUGAAUUUCAAAUUGUUGAAAGAUGAUUGAGGCAGAGAUAGAGAGAACGGUUGGGUUGGGGUUUGGGUUAGUUUUUUAUUUUUAAUUUUAUAUCAAUUGACUUGAUUUCCUGUAAGUUUUUAUAAAAUAUUUAUUUAUAAUAAAAGACAUUCUAGUAAUCAUACAAAUUUUCAUUCCGAUCAAGUGAAUUAGUAAACAACUUACAUUCAAACAAGACCAUUUAUACUCUGAUUCCAGAUUUAAUGGAAAUCUGGAUUUCAAUUCUCCUCAAUUCAAUUCAAUUCCCCCUCAAUCCAAUUCUGUCUAUUUUGAUUAAGGAUUAAUAAACGAACCCUUAAUGUUGAACAAAAGUCAGUACUUUACAUUAAGCUAGAACUAAAAAGGCUACUCCUAGUAGAAGUGACAGAAUUAUUGUUGAGUACGUAGCAAAAUUAUUAAGCAUUUGAGCUAGAACUGUUCGUACAUUUUUUAUCUGGCCUGGUCGAGCAGUGGUACAGCUACAGAGUACUAAUUUAUAUGCCUAACGUUAUAAAACUACAAUAAUAUUUCUCAAUUAUUUUAUAAUUUAAUUUGUUGACACUUCUCAACUGAAUUAUGAAAGCACCGCCGCGAGCCCAGGGACAAGAUACCUCGAGUCCUGACGCAUUCAGGUAUUGUCGCAUAGAUAAUCAUAAGUAAAGUUCCACCAGAGAGAACCAAAUUUGACGAGUUCAGCGGCUUAUACUUUUAUGGGUAUUUGUAGUAUGAUUUUCUUAGAUUUAUUAUUUACAUUAAACGUAUUCGUUUAAAUUUUUUAGAUUAGUGACCGAUUAAAUAUUCAAAUUUCAACUCAAAUCAGAGAUAUAUGAGAACGAACAACUUUUUCUCAAACACCAUUUUUUGUUCUUUGGGAACCAAAAUACAUGGAAAAGUAAAGAUAGGAGCAGCUUCAUCGAUCAAAAUUAUCGAGCACAAACACACACACCAAUACCAUCGAACUACCCGGAAACCAGAACCAGAACAGACCAUGACCCUAAAACACAACCAGAAAACGUUAACACUAACAUCUCAAAGUCCCAAACCACCUAUAACAC
Molecule: long non-coding RNA, 25089 nt
Filed under: Malus domestica (apple)
Lineage: Eukaryota; Viridiplantae; Streptophyta; Magnoliopsida; Rosales; Rosaceae
Description: long non-coding RNA (MDOM_LNC009157)
Source: RNAcentral